RNAcentral lists this long non-coding RNA (762 nucleotides) under Equus caballus (horse). RNAcentral describes it as "lncRNA (ENSECAG00000054196.1)". The record is from RNAcentral. Lineage: Eukaryota; Metazoa; Chordata; Mammalia; Perissodactyla; Equidae.
GCUGGUCAGGGGGACCUGGCUCCCAUGGGAACCGAGUCCACAGGCCUCGCUGAUAGAGAAGUGGGGGCUCUGCCGAGAUUUGGGGCUAAGCCCUCCAGCCUGCUUAUGGGGAAAAAAACCUCUCAACCCAGACUGGGAGAGGAGGGUUUACUUGCUUGCCCGACUUGUGUUUUUUUGCUGGUAAUAGUUUUCAUUGACUGGGGAGUAAAACUGCUCUCCUCUCCUGAACUGACAGAGCAGGACUGGUAAGGGUCAGCUUUGAUUCUGGUCUUCCCUUUGCUCAUCAUUUUAUUUGAGUGCCGUGAGGACAUUCCCCUAUCAGGUUCUUAGGCCCUGGAGCAAGAGUCCUGAGCAGCCACUGUUUGAGGGGUGAGCCAGGCACCGGUGCACUCCAUGGCCUCCGGGAAGCGAGGUGGUACAUGUGGCAGAGCUCCCCAAGACUGCUCCUGCUGUGCCCAGCGUGACCCGCCCCCAGACAGGGGGCCGCUGGGGCCAUGGAUGGAUGUGGGGCUGGCAGGAGGGCCCAGUUCUUGGUUUGGGCUUCAUUUCCACUCUUAGCAGGUAAGAAUCUUAGGUUUCAGCUUGAGCUCUUGGAAAAGCUAAGAAGCACCUUGUUGCCAUUCCUCUCAACUGUCUCCUCUACCUAGGGGUCAGACUUUUUAAAAAAUUUGUGGUAAACUAUUUGUAACAUAAAAUUUACCAUUUUAACCAUGUUGAGGCUUACAGUCCAGUGGCAUUUAGUAAAUUUAUAUCAUGCAUCCA